This is a ribosomal RNA of 1827 nucleotides. It matches the Rfam family "Bacterial small subunit ribosomal RNA".
UUAUAGAAGAAUUUAAUUUUGGUUCUGAUUGAACGUUUUUCAGUAGUUUUAAGACAUGCGAAUCGUUAUUCUACCUACGGAUUAAAUAAAUAAUUAUCCAGUCCAAAGGAGAAUAAGGUGUAAAGGUGAGUAAUGGUAAAUAAGAUAUCUUAUAGACUUCUUAAAUAGAGGAUAGUUAAUAAAAAAAUACAUUUAAAUUAUUAGCAUAACUUAGCUUAGUUAUAACUAAAGGAAAUUUUCCGCUAUAAGAAUUGAUUUACUUUGUUUAAUGGUAGUUGGCAGGGUAAAAGCCUCCCAAGCCUACGAUCAAUAGCCAAAUUUGAAAGAAGAGAUGGCCACAUUGGGGAAGCAAUAGCCCCAAAUCCCAUAGGGGAUCUGCAGUCAAGAAUAUUAGUCAAUGCUCGCAAGAGUGAACUAGCUAACUGAAAUCCUAAUUACACUUAAUCGUGCAAUUAAGAUAAGGUAAGGGAAAAAAAUGAUAAUACCUUACUAUUAGUGUUGUCCAAAUUACUGGUGCCAGAAGACUCGGUAACACCAGAAACGCGAACGUUAGUCGUCUUAAACAGGCGUAAAGGGUAAGUAGGCAGCUUUAUAAAAAAAUAUGUUAAUUUAAGCUCUAAUUAAAAUAACAAUAAACCUUAUUUGAUUAGUUUUUAACAUAUUUUGAUUAAAAGCUAGAAUCAUAUUGAAGAUAAACCAAAUAAUACUUAAGUGUAGGGAUAAUAUCCAUAGAUACUAAGUGGAAUACUAAUGGUGUAAACUUUUAUCUACUAAUGAUUGACGCUGAGGAACGAAAGUGAGAACAGGGAAUAGGAUUAGAUACCCAGUUACCUCUCACCGUCAACGAUGAAUGGUAGUUAUUAUUUUUGAAUAAAAAUUAGUAACGAUGUUAACGCGAUAACCAUUCCGCCUUGAGAGUACGGUUGCAAAACUGAAACCAAAAAAAUUAGUCGGUCUCGGAGCAAACGAAGUGAAGCAUGUUAUUUAAUACGAAAGUACGCGUAAAAUCUUACCAGUUCUUGCAUAGCCAGUCCCUCUUAUUAUUUGAAAAAGAGAUUAAGAUAAAAAACUACUGAGUAGUAAUAGUAGGAUUUGAUAAAUAUUUAGAUAAAUAGUAAUUUAUUAUUAUUUAUUUGUUUUAUUUUUCUACCUACAUACUUUAUAGUGAGGACUCACUAUUUUAUGAGUUAUUAAUUUAAUAAAAAUAAGUGAGGGCCUCUCCCCUUAGGCUUACCUAAGGGAGAAGUUUUUCUUCGAAGUUUUUCUUUUAAUUUUAAGACUGGAUUGAGUGAUAAUUAUUUAUAAAUAAGUUACUUUUUCUUCCCUAAUUUUUUUUUUGUUUAAAAUAAUAAUAGGGUUAUUCGAAGAAUAUUUAUUUAUAUUAAUUUAUCCGUUUACAGGUGUUGCAUGGCUGUCGUCAGUCCGUAUUGUGAAAAGUGAGGUUAACUCCACUAACGGACGAAAUCCCUGUAGUUAAUUUAUACUUAACUAUUAAUGAUUUUUAAAUAUUUUCAUUUGGGGCUAAGACAAGUCGUUAUGGCCCUCAUGGACUGGGCUAUAGACGUGCCACUAGAACUUUUACAAUUUGACGCAAAACUUAAAUUUAGAUUUUAUUAUUUAAAUUUAUAAGGUUUAGCUAAUCAGUAAAGAAAGUUAAUUGUAUUAAUCUUAAAACGGAUUGUUGCCUGUAACUCGGCAACAUGAAGAAGGAAUUUCGAGUAAUCGUUGAUAAGCAACGCAACGGUGAACAAUGAAUCCGUGAUGAACUAACUGUCUGUCGCUGGGGAGAAGUUCAGCUUGGGGGAAAGCGCCGCGAAGUCUAUCUUU